GACGAUGCCUCACGCGGGUGCUGAGU
Molecule: non-coding RNA, 26 nt
Filed under: Homo sapiens (human)
Lineage: Eukaryota; Metazoa; Chordata; Mammalia; Primates; Hominidae
Source: RNAcentral